GCACCUGAAUCUUUCCCAUGUCUUGCAAAAUACAUGUAGGCCUGGGGACAUGUGGUGCUAAAGCAAAGCAGAGGAAAUCCAGACAAGUCAUUUUUCUCCCUCAUUGCGGGCUUGUUUCUACACCUUUGCAACAUUG
This is a small nucleolar RNA of Rhineura floridana, 136 nucleotides long. RefSeq annotates it as small nucleolar RNA SNORA55. The record is from RefSeq and is a predicted model, not a curated record. NCBI's taxonomy places the organism in Eukaryota, Metazoa, Chordata, Lepidosauria, Squamata, Rhineuridae. The transcript has a single exon.